GCCAGGCAUGGUGGUGCAUGCCUGUAAUCCCAGUGAUUUAGGAGGCUGAGGCAGGAGGAACGCGAAUUUGCUGAAUUUAGGGAAUCCGUCUUAU
This 94-nucleotide small RNA is filed under the name Marmota monax (woodchuck). Lineage: Eukaryota; Metazoa; Chordata; Mammalia; Rodentia; Sciuridae. The record is from RNAcentral.